UGGGUGGAUUAGUGGCGAACGGGUGAGUAACACGUGAGUAACCUGCCCCUGACUCUGGGAUAAGCGUUGGAAACGACGUCUAAUACUGGAUAUGACUACCGGCCGCAUGGUCUGGUGGUGGAAAGAUUUUUUGGUUGGGGAUGGACUCGCGGCCUAUCAGCUUGUUGGUGAGGUAAUGGCUCACCAAGGCGACGACGGGUAGCCGGCCUGAGAGGGUGACCGGCCACACUGGGACUGAGACACGGCCCAGACUCCUACGGGAGGCAGCAGUGGGGAAUAUUGCACAAUGGGCGAAAGCCUGAUGCAGCAACGCCGCGUGAGGGAUGACGGCCUUCGGGUUGUAAACCUCUUUUAGUAGGGAAGAAGCGACUGAGUUUACUCUGAGUGACGGUACCUGCAGAAAAAGCACCGGCUAACUACGUGCCAGCA
This 429-nucleotide ribosomal RNA is filed under the name Curtobacterium sp. R9.11. Its description in RNAcentral is "bacterial SSU rRNA". It matches the Rfam family "Bacterial small subunit ribosomal RNA", at positions 84 to 513 of the family's 1533-position model. Lineage: Bacteria; Bacillati; Actinomycetota; Actinomycetes; Micrococcales; Microbacteriaceae. The record is from RNAcentral.